RNAcentral lists this ribosomal RNA (260 nucleotides) under uncultured bacterium. RNAcentral describes it as "partial 16S ribosomal RNA". It matches the Rfam family "Bacterial small subunit ribosomal RNA", at positions 524 to 776 of the family's 1533-position model. The record is from RNAcentral.
GACAGAGGAUGCAAGCGUUAUCCGGAAUGAUUGGGCGUAAAGCGUCUGUAGGUGGCUUUUCAAGUCCGCCGUCAAAUCCCAGGGCUCAACCCUGGACAGGCGGUGGAAACUACCAAGCUGGAGUACGGUAGGGGCAGUCCAAUUAAUAUACUAGAGGUGGAGCGGUGAAAUGCGUAGAGAUCGGGAAGAACACCAACGGCGAAAGCACUCUGCUGGGCCGACACUGACACUGAGAGACGAAAGCUAGGGGAGCAAAUGGG